Molecule: transfer RNA, 75 nt
Filed under: Chloroflexota bacterium
Lineage: Bacteria; Bacillati; Chloroflexota
Also listed under: 1 other name
Description: tRNA-Ser
Rfam family: tRNA
About the family: Transfer RNA (tRNA) molecules are approximately 80 nucleotides in length. Their secondary structure includes four short double-helical elements and three loops (D, anti-codon, and T loops). Further hydrogen bonds mediate the characteristic L-shaped molecular structure. tRNAs have two regions of fundamental functional importance: the anti-codon, which is responsible for specific mRNA codon recognition, and the 3' end, to which the tRNAs corresponding amino acid is attached (by aminoacyl-tRNA synthetases). tRNAs cope with the degeneracy of the genetic code in two manners: having more than one tRNA (with a specific anti-codon) for a particular amino acid; and 'wobble' base-pairing, i.e. permitting non-standard base-pairing at the 3rd anti-codon position.
Source: RNAcentral
GCGGACGAAGCGGCAAACGCCCGCUGCGACCCUUCCAAGGUUGAGGUGCGGGUUCGAUUCCCGCCGCCCGCUCCA